GACGAACGCUGGCGGCGUGCUUAACACAUGCAAGUCGAACGGAAAGGCCCUGCUGUGGGGUGGUGCGCGAGUGGCGAACGGGUGAUUAACACGUGAGUAACCUGCCCUUGACGUUAGGAUAACUUCAGGAAACUUGGGCUAAUACCGGAUAUGAGCUCCUGCUGCAUGGUGGGGGUUGGAAAGUUUCGGCGGGUGGGGAUGGACUCGCGGCUUAUCAGCUUGUUGGUGGGGUAGUUGCUUACCAAGGCUUUGACCGGUAGGCGGCCUGAGAGGGUGACCGGCCACAUUGGGCCUGAGAUACGGCCCAGACUCCUACGGGAGGCAGCAGUGGGGAAUAUUGCACAAUGGGCGGAAGCCUGAUGCAGCAACGCCGCGUGUGGGAUGACGGCCUUGGAGGUGUAAAACGCUUUCGCCUGUGACGAAGCGUGAGUGACGGUAAUGGGUAAAGAAGCACCGGCUAACUACGUG
This 468-nucleotide ribosomal RNA is filed under the name uncultured bacterium. RNAcentral's name for it is "partial 16S ribosomal RNA". It matches the Rfam family "Bacterial small subunit ribosomal RNA", at positions 28 to 507 of the family's 1533-position model. The record is from RNAcentral.